Long non-coding RNA from Serinus canaria (Common canary), 1524 nucleotides. RefSeq lists it as uncharacterized. The record is from RefSeq and is a predicted model, not a curated record. The transcript has 3 exons. NCBI's taxonomy places the organism in Eukaryota, Metazoa, Chordata, Aves, Passeriformes, Fringillidae.
GAGGCCAAAACUCACUUCACAGCUGUUGCAAAAGCAGGGGAAAAGUCAAGGAGGCAGACACAACUUGGAGGGGAAGAUAGGAGAGACAUGGCAUGGAUACUUGAAAAAAAAAAAAACAGAAAACAAAAUCUUGUUCCACAUCAAAGCCAUCAAAAGGCAUGGCACGGCAUCAAGGGCAGGGACAUGCAGGACAUUCACCAAGGCUGGCCAAAAUUGAUCCCCGCUGAAGGUCAAAACAAAUAAGAAGGACUUAGGAACACUCUGGAAUAGAGAUAGCAUCCAAAGAAAUGAAAUUGAAGGAGAGAAAAAAAAAAUUUUUUGAAAUUUAGUGACUACAAGAAAGUGGUCUGGGCCAAAAUGAAGUACAGUGCAAACCUCAAAAAGAGGCCAAAACUCACCUCACAGCUGUUCCAAAAUCAGGGGAAAAGUGAAGGAGGCAGACACAACUUGGAGGGGAAGAUAAGAGGGAAAUGGCAUGGAUACUUAAAAAAAAAAAAAGGAAAAAAAAAAUCUUGUUCCACAUCAAAGCCAUCAAAAGGCAUGGCAAGCCAUCAAGGGCAGGGACAUGCAGGACAUUCACCAAGGCUGGCCAAAAUUGAUCCCCGCUGAAGGUCAAAACAAAUAAGAAGGACUUAGGAACACUAUGGAAUAGAGAUAGCAUCCAAAGAAAUGAAAUUGAAGGAGAGAAAAAAAAAAUUUUUGAAAUUUAGUGACUACAAGAAAGUGGUCUGGGUGGAAAUGAUGUGCAGUGCAAAGGACCAAAGGAGGCCAAAACUCACCUCACAGCUGUUCCAAAAUCAGGGGAAAAGUGAAGGAGGCAGACACAACUUGGAGGGGAAGAUAAGAGGGAAAUGGCAUCGAUAUUUAAAAAAAAAAAAAGGAAAAAAAAAAUCUUGUUCCACAUCAAGGCCAUCAAAAGGCAUGGCAUGGCAUCAAGGGCAGGGACAUGCAGGACAUAGACCAAGGCUGGCCAAAAUUGAUCCCCGCUGAAGGUCAAAACAAAUAAGAAGGACUUAGGAACGCUAUGGAAUAGAGAUAGCAUCCAAAGAAAUGAAAUUGAAGGAGAGAAAAAAAAAAUUUUUGAAAUUUAGUGACUACAAGAAAGUAGUCUGGGUGGAAAUGAUGUGCAGUGCAAAGGACCAAAGGAGGCCAAAACCCACCUCACAGCUGUUCCAAAAUCAGGGGAAAAGUGAGGAGGCAGACACAACUUGGAGGGGAAGAUAAGAGGGAAAUGGCAUGGAUAUUUAAAAAAAAAAAAAAAGAAAAAAAAAUCUUGUUCCACAUCAAAGCCAUCAAAAGGCAUGGCAUGGCAUCAAGGGCAGGGACAUGCAGGACAUUCACCAAGGCUGGCCAAAAUUGAUCCCCGCUGAAGGUCAAAACAAAUAAGAAGGACUUAGGAACAUUCUGGAAUAGAGAUAGCAUCCAAAGAAAUGAAAUUGAAGGAGAGAAAAAAAAAAUUUUUGAAAUUUAGUGACUACAAGAAAGUGGUCUGGGCCAAAAUGAAGUACAGUGCAAACCACAAAA